This 253-nucleotide unclassified non-coding RNA is filed under the name uncultured Gammaproteobacteria bacterium. RNAcentral's name for it is "contains 16S-23S intergenic spacer region". It matches the Rfam family "Bacterial small subunit ribosomal RNA", at positions 524 to 776 of the family's 1533-position model. Lineage: Bacteria; Pseudomonadati; Pseudomonadota; Gammaproteobacteria. The record is from RNAcentral.
UACGGAGGGUGCAAGCGUUAAUCGGAAUUACUGGGCGUAAAGCGUGUGUAGGUGGUUAGAUAAGUCAGAUGUGAAAGCCCUGGGCUUAACCCGGGAAUUGCGUUUGGUACUGUCUAGCUAGAGGAUGGGAGAGGGAAGUGGAAUUUCCGGUGUAGCGGUGAAAUGCGUAGAUAUCGGAAGGAACACCAGUGGCGAAGGCGGCUUCCUGGACCAUUACUGACACUGAGGCACGAAAGCGUGGGGAGUGAACAGG